This 847-nucleotide ribosomal RNA is filed under the name Sarcocystis gigantea. Its description in RNAcentral is "SSU rRNA". It matches the Rfam family "Eukaryotic small subunit ribosomal RNA", at positions 277 to 1086 of the family's 1831-position model. The record is from RNAcentral. Lineage: Eukaryota; Apicomplexa; Conoidasida; Eucoccidiorida; Sarcocystidae.
UCGGUGAUUGGCGAUAGAUCAUUCAAGUUUCUGACCUAUCAGCUUUCGACGGUAGUGUAUUGGACUACCGUGGCAGUGACGGGUAACGGGGAAUUAGGGUUCGAUUCCGGAGAGGGAGCCUGAGAAACGGCUACCACAUCUAAGGAAGGCAGCAGGCGCGCAAAUUACCCAAUCCUGACUCAGGGAGGUAGUGACAAGAAAUAACAACACUGGAAAUUGUAUUUCUAGUGAUUGGAAUGAUGGGAAUCCAAACCCCUUUCAGAGUAACAAUUGGAGGGCAAGUCUGGUGCCAGCAGCCGCGGUAAUUCCAGCUCCAAUAGCGUAUAUUAAAGUUGUUGCAGUUAAAAAGCUCGUAGUUGGAUAUCUGCUGGAAGCAAUCAGUCCGCCCUUUUCGUAAGGGUGUGCACUUGAUGAAUUCUGGCAUGAUUUCAUCCUAAUAAUAAUAUAUUAUUAUAUUAGGUUGAUUCCUAGUAUAAUAAUAUUUAUUAUUAUGGGGAUGACAGUUACUUUGAGAAAAUUAGAGUGUUUGAAGCAGGCUUUUGUUGCCUUGAAUACUGCAGCAUGGAAUAACAAUAUAGGAUUUCGGUUCUAUUAUUUUGUUGGUUUUUUCUGUAGGACUGAAAUAAUGAUUAAUAGGGACAGUUGGGGGCAUUCGUAUUUAACUGUCAGAGGUGAAAUUCUUAGAUUUGUUAAAGACGAACUACUGCGAAAGCAUUUGCCAAAGAUGUUUUCAUUAAUCAAGAACGAAAGUUAGGGGCUCGAAGACGAUCAGAUACCGUCGUAGUCUUAACCAUAAACUAUGCCGACUAGAGAUAGGAAAAUGUCACAUUGUUGACUUCUCCUGCAC